UAGGUGUCAAGUAGUUUUCUAAAGUGUUAAGUUUAUGAGAUUUGUUUUACUUCAUCUUCUCACUAAAACUUGAAAUUAUCUGUUUUUUCUUUCCUAUUUUUGUUUCACUCAUAAAGCUCUUUGAUCUAUUGUAUAGCUUUGGGACAUAAGUUGCUUUUCUUAGGUAACAUCAAACAUGUUUUAAAGUUAUUCAUUGUCUAUUUAGUUAGCUUACUUUUAGAGUGACUGUCUACACCUGUGUUUAUUUUCCUUUUUGGUUGUCUAAUUGUUUAGAUUUUUUAAAAUUAUUAUUAUACUUUAAGUUCUAGGGUACAUGUGCACAACGUGCAGGUUUGUUAAAUAUGCAUAUACAUGUGCCAUGUUGGUGUGCUGCACCCAUUAACUCGUCAUUUGCAUUAGGGACAUGGAUGAAGCUGGAAACUAUCAUUCUAAUUUUUUUGAUUCUUAAAUUAUUUUUAAUCUUCUGAGUAUAACAUUAUUGACUUUUUGUAUCCUGUGUAAUAAAUAUUUGCUUACACCAAUAUCAUAAAAUAUUUUUCUUUUUUUCUUUUUUUUUCUAAAUGCUCACUUGUUUAACCUUUCAGAUUUAGGACUGUAAUACAUAAAGGAAAUUUUUUGUAUAUGUUGUCAAUAAUAUACUAAAACCAUUUUUUCCUA
This 657-nucleotide long non-coding RNA is filed under the name Homo sapiens (human). Its description in RNAcentral is "novel transcript". Lineage: Eukaryota; Metazoa; Chordata; Mammalia; Primates; Hominidae. The record is from RNAcentral.